GAUGAAGAAACGUAGCGAAAUGCGAUAAGUAAUGUGAAUUGCAGAAUCCAGUGAAUCAUCGAAUCUUUGAACGCACAUUGCGCCCGCCAGCAUUCUGGCGGGCAUGCCUGUUCGAGCGUCAUUUCAACCCUCGACCUCCCUUUGGGGAAGUCGGCGUUGGGGACCGGCAGCACACCGCCGGCCCUGAAAUGGAGUGGCGGCCCGUCCGCGGCGACCUCUGCGUAGUAAACCAACUCGCACCGGAACCCCGACGUGGCCACGCCGUAAAACACCCAACUUCUGAACGUUGACCUCGAAUCAGGUAGGACUACCCGCUGAACUUAAGCAUAUCAAUAAGCGGAGGA
This 344-nucleotide unclassified non-coding RNA is filed under the name soil metagenome. Its description in RNAcentral is "partial contains 5.8S ribosomal RNA, internal transcribed spacer 2, and large subunit ribosomal RNA". The stretch from base 1 to 121 matches the Rfam family "5.8S ribosomal RNA", at positions 35 to 154 of the family's 154-position model. The record is from RNAcentral.